Molecule: ribosomal RNA, 500 nt
Filed under: uncultured Glomeromycotina
Lineage: Eukaryota; Fungi; Glomeromycota
Description: partial small subunit ribosomal RNA
Rfam family: Eukaryotic small subunit ribosomal RNA
Source: RNAcentral
CCAAUAGCGUAUAUUAAAGUUGUUGCAGUUAAAAAGCUCGUAGUUGAAUUUCGGGAUCAAUAUGUCGGUCGUGCCUCCGGUACGUACUGGCAUCAUUGAUUUCUCCCUUCUGACAAACCAUGAUGUCAUUAAUUUGGUGUCAUGGGGAGUCAGGACUGUUACUUUGAAAAAAUUAGAGUGUUUAAAGCAGGCUCACGCUUGAAUACAUUAGCAUGGAAUAAUGAAAUAGGACGUUUGACCCUAUUUUGUUGGUUUCUAGGAUCAACGUAAUGAUUAAUAGGGAUAGUUGGGGGCAUUAGUAUUCAAUUGUCAGAGGUGAAAUUCUUGGAUUUAUUGAAGACUAACUACUGCGAAAGCAUUUGCCAAGGAUGUUUUCAUUAAUCAAGAACGAAAGUUAGGGGAUCGAAGACGAUCAGAUACCGUCGUAGUCUUAACCAUAAACUAUGCCGACUAGGGAUCGGAUGAUGCUAAUUUUUUAAUGACUCAUUCGGCGCCUUACG